GCGGGAGCCUGGCUCCUCAGCCGCGUGGGCGUCAAGAUCCGGGUCCUCCUGCCGGCGGCCGUUCGCUUCCGGCGGCCGCUUUCCCGCCACCGCCGCCGCGGCCCCGGGCCUGGGCGAGCCUGACUCCUCCACCGCGGUGCGGGGGAUGGAAGGAGCCGGAGAGGAGGUGCAGACGGUUCGUGAAUGUGUUGUUUUCUGUGCGGCCAAGAGAACACAACAAGCAUUUUGUGCAGUGAUGACCGAAUUUCCCUGUGGCCAGCCUACUGUGUGGAGCCUGCAUGAAAAGAGCCCCAGCCUGCACCCCUAGCCUGGAGCAGCAGGAACAACCCAAGCCUUGGACUCAAUGGAGUUGGUGGUCAUCCCUUUCCACCCGAAGCAGCUGUGUGGCCUUCGGAAAACCCCAUCCCUUCUCUGGCCUCAGUUCCCCUCUGUUGAAUGUGAAUGAGAAAUGGUCAGUGUUUCUGUCCCUGGCUGUACGGCAGACACACUGGGGUACUUUAAGAAAUACUGACACAACUACCUCAGAACCUCUGGGGGCAUUUUCCUUCACCUCGAGUGGGUUUUUUUUUUUUAACUCUUUACUUUGAAAUAACCCUAGAUUCACAGGAAGUUCCAAGGUAAAAUGUAUGGGGAGGUCUCCUGAACCCUCCCACAGCCUCCCCCAGUGAUGACAUCUUGCACAACUAUAGCACACCACCCACCUAGGAAGCUGACACUGGUCCAGCCCACUGAGCUUCUUCAAAUGUCACUAGUCACCCAAGCACACGUGCGCGCAUCCAUGUCUCUGUGUAGUUUUAUCACAUCUGUACCUUUGCGUAGUGACAGAGCUGAUCCAUCACCAGGCUCUCUCAUGCCACCCCUCCCUCUACAGCCACACCCCUCCCUACCCCAGUCCCUCACCCCUGACAACUACCAAUCUGUUCCCCGGCUCCAUAAUUUUGUCAUUUCAAGAAUGUUAUAGAAACGGAAUUGUACACUAUGUAAGUUUUUAAGAUCGCCUUUUUUCACUCAUCAUAAUUCCUGGAAGUUCCUCCGAGUUGUUGCAUGCAUCAGCAGUUCUUUCCUUUUUACGGCUGGUACGGAUAUACCAUAGCUUGUUUAUCCAUU
Molecule: long non-coding RNA, 1107 nt
Filed under: Equus asinus (donkey)
Lineage: Eukaryota; Metazoa; Chordata; Mammalia; Perissodactyla; Equidae
Description: lncRNA (ENSEASG00005024002.1)
Source: RNAcentral